GUUUGUCUUUUUCAUUUUUGCCAAUGGCGUUGUCAGUCUAUUUUCGAUUUAUGAGUUUGACUGUAGAUGUCCCUCUGGUAUAUUUCGUCCCUCUUCCAGUAGAACCUUAUAUUGGUUGUAUAACCAUUGUUUCUCUUAACUUGGUGUACCACAGUUUGUUUACACAAAGGAAGAGUGUCCCAUUAUGCACAGAGGUUUCAGACUUUGACAAGUAUCCUCUAACAGUAAUAGGUCUCACUCAUGAACUCAAUGAUUGAUUGUUGAUCAUUUGUCAUAUUUC
This 280-nucleotide long non-coding RNA is filed under the name Mytilus galloprovincialis (Mediterranean mussel). The record is from RNAcentral. Lineage: Eukaryota; Metazoa; Mollusca; Bivalvia; Mytilida; Mytilidae.